AGUUUCUCAUUUUUUUUCAUAGAAAUUCGCCCACACGAAUUUCACAAAUUCUGGUAUUAUUCGGGUUACACAGCAGAAGACUGUGGAACUGAAGGAUAACGGUCUCGUGGAUGGUGUGUGUUUGUGGUUGAAGAUCCGACUCUUGAUCGCGGUCACGCUUCAAGAGAUAAGUAUCAAUUUUAUGUUUGAUUAAUAUCUUGAUUAUGUAUUGUCUAUAUUAUAUGCAAGUUCGAUCCUGGCUAUUUGCUUACGCUGCUUAUGCCUGUAUUCCAUCAAUUGGCAUCAAGAGCCUGCUUGCAUCUAAAUAGAUAACCUAAUGUAUAUAUCUGUAUAUAUGUUGUACGAUUAUGUGCAUGUACACGUUGUAUUUUUUGUGUCUGUUUUUCACGGAAAAGAAAAGGAGGGCGGCGUUGUUGUUUUCUGCUGCUAGUGCCUAUAAGAAGAAUCGAAGAUAACCAACUUUUGUAAAUCUUUUUGUGAUUGAGUUUAAUCUUUUUUUAAAAAAAAAUAAAAAAAUAUUGAAAGCUGAUGGUUGAUUGGGUUCUCGCGGCAGUGGACCGGUUUUCUUAGUACUUUGAUCAAAUGGAUACAACAUUGAGAUUACUGUGGCGGCUAGUUUUGUUGACAGAGGUGAAGUUUUCUUUUGCAAAGUAGAUUCCUUCUGGGUUAGUUGGUUUACUUUGUCAAUUUUUUUUAAAGGUUGUUCGAGACUUUGCUUCACGUGAUCAAAGGGGUAGCGGCACCCACUAUUCAAUCAGAAAAUUUUGAUUUUUUCUUCUUGUCUGAUAAAUAUGUGAGCAUAGUUUUUCUUCUUUUCUCUCACACGAAUAUAUGGACCUGUAUAUCUUAAGAAUUUUAUAAUUAAUAAACGGUUACCAUUUAAGUGGUUUGUUUAUUUGGAAUUAUUAGAAUUCUUUAUACUUUAUAUAUGUGAGAUUAUAAUACAUGAAUUGAGAGCUUAUAUCCAUGAACUGAUCUGCUGGUCUGUGUAUUCACGUAUGUAUGUGGUUUGAUAUUCUUGUCUUUUGCAAAUUACUUCAAGAAUGUAUGUUUGAUGCCCUUGUUUGGCUAGAGAAGUUUUGUCACUGAUUCCUGAUGAUUGUUGGUUCUAACUUUGAAAUAGAGCCUUAGAGAAAUUUAAAACUGAGGAAUAUUACUUUCAUUAGAAGUACUGUAAGACAUACCAUUCAUGGUUUUAGUCUUCUCUUCCAUGGACAUCAAGGAGGGUAAUGUUUUCUUGAAUUCAGUGAUUAUAUGAAUAUAUAUAAUUCAAUGAUAUUUAUUAUAUGAGCGUGUUUUUCUCUCACAUGAAUAUAAGAGUGUAUAAUAUUAGAAUUCGUGAUAAAUAAAUAAUUACUAUUAAAGUGGUGUAUUUAUUUGGAAUCACUUACCAUUCUUAAAACUUCUUAUAUGUGCGAUUACAUCAUAGAUUGAGAGUUAUGAUUAAUAAAUAGGAUUCACUAAUAUGGUCUAUUUAUUUGAGUUGUUAAAAUAUGCUCAAUGUACCACGUGUAAAUUGUCCUGGAUAAGUGUAUGCUAGUGGUGGGUUUUUAUCUACUGAAAGGAGAUUUACCUUUAGACACUAGUAACACUUAAAUAUUUCAUGAGAAGAGACAUCGAGAUUUUUUGCCCAAAAUGAGAAAACUAGCAUCUUGAAUUCUCAUAUGCAUUAAUCCAGAGAACAAUUUGUUGUGAGUAAGUGUUGUAUGUUACCUGAAGUUGUGCUCAAGGGAUGAUUGUAAAAAGAGAAAAGUAGAAUCAGUUUAUUUUAAUUCCUAAAGAUGCUUAAAAACUUAUUUUUUUGAAUUUGGUCAUAGAUUUAAAGAUUCGGAAUUUUACUAACUCUGGUUGAUUUGAAAUUCAGUAGGUUCAUCAAAAACGACCCAAUAAGAAAUACUCACUGCUAUGCAGUGAUUCAUGUCAUUUUUCGGCGAUUUGCGGUUGUUUAGAUGGUGUUUUGGGCAUUUUUUUUGUUUUCUGAAAAUGAUUUCUUUUAGAAAAAAUAACUUGGCUAUGAUCUAAUGGUGAUAGAGAUUCUUCCUUAUGGUUUUCAUGGCUAAAUACUAGUGAAAUAAUAAAUUUAUGUGUUGACUUUAUUAUUAUAGGUUGUCACUAGGUAUAAUCACUAGUUAUUGAUAACUUGUAUUAACUCUCCAUCUGAGUUACACAUUGGGUCAAUGGAACUAGAGAUAAUGAUAAUGAUGUUCACUUGGCUUAAAUUAGCAGCAUACUCUUCGUCCGAGUUAGCUCUUAUUUUAAAUUUAUAGAGUGAAUAUGUAGCAUCACAUAUAUAUGUUGCAUGAAUUGUUCUUUUAUAUUGAAAUUUGUUGUUCAAGAUGCAUGCAUGGAUAUCUAUGUGGUGUGUUUUGAAUUUUAUAUCCAAUGAUUACAUAAACAUGCUAAUUUCCAGAAAGUAACAGAGAUUAUGUAAACAUAUUUUAAAAUUUUGUUCGUUGUUCUUGAUUCAUGUAUAUUAGUACGCUAAUGAUGAUAUGUGAUAAGAACUACUGAAAAAAUGUAUAUGUUUUUUAAAAUCUAUUUUGGCUGGGAAUUUUUUUUUAUCUGAAUUGGUCAUGGUUUCGGAAUUCUGAUUUUUGACGAACUCCGAUUGGCUUGAAAUUUGGUAGGUUCAUCGAAAACGACCACUACUGGAAAUUAGGGCUAUGGCAAUGCCUUCCUCUGUAACAAUUAUACAACCGUUGCUGUAACCGAGGUACUGCAACGGUUAUACCCGUUGCACAAGGACAGAAUGCUAUAGUUACACUUUAGCGUCUAAACCGUUGCAAUUGUAUCUAAACCGUCACCAUACAUGUACCUAAUGGGACGGUUUUAUUUAACCGUUGCAAUAGUUUUAAUAUGGCAAUAGUUUUGUUUCUAUUGCAACAGUUUUAAAUUCCCUCCCAAAUUUUCCUUAUUUUCACUGUAGACCCGCCUAAAGCAGAGACCACAUUAUUUUUCCUUUUAGCCAAAAAUCGUAAAAUCUGUAUAAUCCAGGCUCCAAAAGAAAUAUAAUAAAACUAAAAAAUUCUAAAAAUUUACUACACUUCUCUGUUUUAUAGAAAACACUAGCACAUCUUCGCAUAUCUAAGCCCUAAUCUCCAUCUGUAACCCAGGUCAUCACAACUCUAAACCUAGGUAUGCUCGAGAUCUUUUGCCAUCUUCCUCACUAUUUUUGAUGCUUUCUCUUGGGGCAUGUACCUAGUAGGCGUAGGAAAUAAGCAGCAUAGGUAUGAUUUUUUUUUUUUUUGUGAAAAUAACAUUUGGGUAUGUUGAUUUUGUCUUUGAUUUGAUACGGGUAUUUCUUAAAUUUUGUUGUUGUGUAAAAGUUGGUUCUUACUCUUUUGAUGAUGUGUGUGAUAGCUGAUUGUGAUUAUUGGUAAACCCUAUAAAAGUUCUUAAAUUUGUUGUGCAUUGGUUGAUUUGAGCUGGUUAGGAUAUGGCUUCUCUUUCCUUUUCCUUCUUUUUUUAUGAUGAAAGUAGUUAAAUUUGACAAUUCAUCUGAAUUGUUAAGUGAAUAGAUUCAAUAAACAUGUGCUGGUGUUGUUGAAAUUAGUCAUUGGGGUUGCAAGGAGAUGCUGAUUGGGAGACAUCUCGCUGUAGGUGUGAUGGGGUUGAAAUAUAUUUGUGUAUGCUUCAUGGUGUUUUAAGGGUAUUUUGGAAUUAGAAUUGUUUAUUUCGGCUUUUCUCUUGGAUUAGAUUUUCUUUUAAAUGAAUUUGCUUUCUCAAUAUAUUUUUGAACGUAUGUGUUCGGUAUUCUCUCUUUUCCCAUUUUCCUGAAAACGAAAAAUAAUGUUGUCUUUUUCAGAAGCUAUUUCUCUUGUUUAUGCUCUUCUUUGCACAGUUCAUGUGUGAAUUUUUUUGCCAUAAUUGAUUGCUAUACUUGUCAGUACGAAAGCUAGCAAUUAGAUUCACGUGAUUUGGAACCCUCUCUAUCUCAUUUUCAUUGACGUUGUGAUAUCACUUUCAUUGUUUUACAGGAGUUUAGUUGCUUUGAUAUUUAGGUGUAUUGACUGUUUAUAUAAAGGAAUAUGUAUCCAGAAUCAGAAAAUUCAAUUGUGAAAGGUAUAUUACUUCAACUUUUAAGCUUUUCUGUUAAGGUCAUUCAGUAUCUUGUAUCUUUCCCUUUUCCUAAAAAGAGGAAUGUUGUCUUUCAAGAUUCACGUGAUUUGGAACCCUCUCUAUCUAAUUUUCAUUGACAUUGUGGUAUCACUUUCAUUAUUUUACCGGAGUUUAGUUGCUUUGCAAUUUAGGUGUAUUGACCAUUAAUAUAAAGGAAUAUGUAUCCAGAAUCAGAAAGUUCAAUUGUGAAUGGUAUAUUACUUCAACUUUUAAGCUUUUCUAUUAAGGUCAUUCAGUAUCUUGUAUCUUUCCCUUUUCCUAAAAAAGAGGAAUGUUGCCUUAAUCUGAAAGUUUUUAUGCAGAUGAUUGACAUUCUUGUUGGGACUAAAACAAUAGAAAAUAGAUUUAUGGGAUUUGGCAUCCUCCCAAUCGUGUUUUGCUUGCUUUGUUGGUGUCAUUUUCAUAGUUUUACUAACUAAAUUGAAACAUGAGACCUGUCAUAUACUCUAUUGUAAUUCAUUCCAAGAGACUGUCCGGAACUGAAAAUAGCAUAAAAUCACGGUAUGAUUGUCGAAUUGUGACUUCUAUGUUUGGUUGGGAGUGGAGUAAUGGCGAAAGACUUGAAAGGUGACACUUCUUCAAAAGCUGAAUCAUCAUCUCAGCAAUAUUUGUCUCGAGAGGAAAAUGAAUCUUUAAAGGAUUGCUUGUCGACUUUAGAAGACAAGAUGGAAUAAUUUAAGCAAUUCAAAGUAUUUGUAUUAGCUCAACACUCCGACGUCCAGCCUUCGACACCGCCUGAUUCAGAAAAUGACCAUUGACUUUAUAACCAUACCAAGUAAGUAACAAUUUAUCCGAAAAUUUAAUAUAUUUUGUUUAUUUGCAUAGAUGUGGUGCUGAAUUCUGUUAGUAUGCACUGGUGAUCUUUUCUUUCCAAGGAUUCCACAUAUGUGGCUAUUGGCUAUCCAAGAAUUUAGUAUGGCCUCUUUUCAUAAUGUCAGGUUAUCCAAACUUCAAUAACUUUUGGUUCAUUUUCUGCUGAAGCACAACACUACAAAAAUACUGAAACGCAAUUUAGAAAACAGUAAACUGCAUUUAAGAAAUACAGAAACGCAAUGCAGCAAAAAAUACAGUGCAGAAAUAUUAAAAUGCAGUGCAGAAAUACAGAAAAAGCAGUGCAGAAAUGCUGAAACGCAGUGAAGAAAUGCUGAAAAACUGUGCAGAAAUGCUGAAAAAGCUAUGCAGAAAUGCUGAAAAUGCAUUGCAGGUGUCGAAAAUGAAGAAAGGGAAGGAGACAGUGAAGACGUUGAUCUUACUUGAGAAGAUCUUUUAUGAAGCUUUCUACAUGUUCUAAGAAUCUUUUUGCUAUCGAACAUUUUGAAACUUAUCCUAAAUCUUGAAAUGUAAAACUUAAUUAUGCAUUUUGGGUUGAACAUUUUGGUUUUACGGGUAUAUAUGUUGGAUUAGGAAUGUUGGAUAUUUUGGAUUAUGAAAAAUUGUGUUUUCUGAUUUA
Lycium barbarum (goji berry) is the source of this 5569-nucleotide long non-coding RNA. RefSeq lists it as uncharacterized. The transcript has 2 exons. Lineage: Eukaryota; Viridiplantae; Streptophyta; Magnoliopsida; Solanales; Solanaceae. The record is from RefSeq and is a predicted model, not a curated record.